Molecule: ribosomal RNA, 289 nt
Filed under: uncultured Labilithrix sp.
Lineage: Bacteria; Pseudomonadati; Myxococcota; Polyangiales; Labilitrichaceae
Description: partial 16S ribosomal RNA
Source: RNAcentral
CUACCGGGGUAUCUAAUCCUGUUUGCUCCCCACGCUUUCGAGUCUCAGCGUCAGUAUUCGUCCAGUUGGCCGCCUUCGCCGCCGGUGUUCCUCUCGAUAUCUACGAAUUUCACCUCUACACCGAGAAUUCCACCAACCUCUCCGAUACUCUAGCCUCGCAGUUUCGAGUGCACUUCCCGGGUUGAGCCCGGGGCUUUCACACCCGACUUAUGAGACCGCCUACACUCGCUUUACGCCCAGUAAUUCCGAACAACGUUUGCACCCUCUGUCUUACCGCGGCUGCUGGCAC